UAGGGAAUCUUCGGCAAUGGACGAAAGUCUGACCGAGCAACGCCGCGUGAGUGAAGAAGGUUUUCGGAUCGUAAAACUCUGUUGUUAGAGAAGAACAAGGACGUUAGUAACUGAACGUCCCCUGACGGUAUCUAACCAGAAAGCCACGGCUAACUACGUGCCAGCAGCCGCGGUAAUACGUAGGUGGCAAGCGUUGUCCGGAUUUAUUGGGCGUAAAGCGAGCGCAGGCGGUUUCUUAAGUCUGAUGUGAAAGCCCCCGGCUCAACCGGGGAGGGUCAUUGGAAACUGGGAGACUUGAGUGCAGAAGAGGGGAGUGGAAUUCCAUGUGUAGCGGUGAAAUGCGUAGAUAUAUGGAGGAACACCAGUGGCGAAGGCGGCUCUCUGGUCUGUAGCUGACGCUGAGGCUCGAAGGCGUGGGGAGCAAACAGG
This 429-nucleotide ribosomal RNA is filed under the name Chloroflexota bacterium. Its description in RNAcentral is "Chloroflexi bacterium partial 16S ribosomal RNA". It matches the Rfam family "Bacterial small subunit ribosomal RNA", at positions 355 to 776 of the family's 1533-position model. Lineage: Bacteria; Bacillati; Chloroflexota. The record is from RNAcentral.